AUUGAACGCUGGCGGCAGGCCUAACACAUGCAAGUCGAACGGUAACAGGAAGCAGCUUGCUGCUUCGCUGACGAGUGGCGGACGGGUGAGUAAUGUCUGGGAAGCUGCCUGAUGGAGGGGGAUAACUACUGGAAACGGUAGCUAAUACCGCAUAAUGUCGCAAGACAAAAGAGGGGGACCUUCGGGCCUCUUGCCAUCGGAUGUGCCCAGAUGGGAUUAGCUUGUUGGUGGGGUAACGGCUCACCAAGGCGACGAUCCCUAGCUGGUCUGAGAGGAUGACCAGCCACACUCGAACUGAGACACGGUCCAGACUCCUACGGGAGGCAGCAGUGGGGAAUAUUGCACAAUGGGCGCAAGCCUGAUGCAGCCAUGCCGCGUGUAUGAAGAAGGCCUUCGGGUUGUAAAGUACUUUCAGCGGGGAGGAAGGGAGUAAAGUUAAUACCUUUGCUCAUUGACGUUACCCGCAGAAGAAGCACCGGCUAACUCCGUG
This 490-nucleotide ribosomal RNA is filed under the name uncultured bacterium. Its description in RNAcentral is "partial 16S ribosomal RNA". It matches the Rfam family "Bacterial small subunit ribosomal RNA", at positions 30 to 507 of the family's 1533-position model. The record is from RNAcentral.